AAUCAACGCUGGCGGCGUGCCUAACACAUGCAAGUCGAACGCGAAAACCCCGCAAGGGGUUAGUAGCGUGGCAAACGGGUGAGUAACACGUGGGUGACCUGCCUUCGAGCGGGGGAUAACGUCCCGAAAGGGACGCUAAUACCGCAUGACAUCCUGCCUUUGAAGAGGUGGAGAUCAAAGCCGGGGAUCGCAAGACCUGGCACUUGAAGAGGGGCCCGCGCCUGAUUAGCUAGUUGGGAGGUAAUGGCUCACCAAGGCAACGAUCAGUAUCCGGCCUGAGAGGGCGGACGGACACACUGGGACUGAGACACGGCCCAGACUCCUACGGGAGGCAGCAGUGGGGAAUUGUUCGCAAUGGGCGCAAGCCUGACGACGCAACGCCGCGUGGAGGAUGAAGACC
This 400-nucleotide ribosomal RNA is filed under the name uncultured bacterium. RNAcentral's name for it is "bacterial SSU rRNA". It matches the Rfam family "Bacterial small subunit ribosomal RNA", at positions 29 to 416 of the family's 1533-position model. The record is from RNAcentral.